AUACUUACCGAGACUGGUCUAUGGAUGAUCCGAAGGUCCAUUGGCUUAGGUUAGCGACCUCCAUUGCACAGUUAAGAGAGGUGCUCUCCUAAGAGCUCCCCAUUGAGGGAGAGUGUCUAUGGUCAUUACUUGUUCCAGGGAGGGUACAUGUUUCUGUGGCACUACC
Molecule: small nuclear RNA, 166 nt
Organism: Papaver somniferum (opium poppy)
Lineage: Eukaryota; Viridiplantae; Streptophyta; Magnoliopsida; Ranunculales; Papaveraceae
Product: U1 spliceosomal RNA
Exons: 1
Source: RefSeq, a predicted model, not a curated record